RNAcentral lists this microRNA precursor (206 nucleotides) under Oryza barthii. Its description in RNAcentral is "MIR812 microRNA precursor family". It matches the Rfam family "MIR812 microRNA precursor family". The record is from Rfam by way of RNAcentral. Lineage: Eukaryota; Viridiplantae; Streptophyta; Magnoliopsida; Poales; Poaceae.
AAUAUUUGACGCCGUUGAUUUUUUUAAACAUGUUUGAUCGUUCGUCUUAUUUAAAAAAUUUAAGUAAUUAUUAAUUCUUUUCCUAUCAUUUGAUUCAUGGUUAAAUAUGGUUUUCUGUAUACAUAUAGUUUUACAUAUUUCACAAAAGUUUUUGAAUAAGACGAACGGUCAAACGUGUUUAAAAAAAGUUAACGGCGUCAAAUAUU